This 242-nucleotide long non-coding RNA is filed under the name Mytilus galloprovincialis (Mediterranean mussel). The record is from RNAcentral. Lineage: Eukaryota; Metazoa; Mollusca; Bivalvia; Mytilida; Mytilidae.
UUGGCCCCUAAUUCCUACAUAUUUUGGGCAAUUAACCCAAAACUUAAUCCCAGCCUCCCCUUUGUUAUAUGGUACAAUUUCAGAGAGAUCCAUACAAAUACACAUAAGUUAUUGUCUUGAAACUAGAAAAAUGCUUGUUUUGACCCCUUUUUGGCCCUUAAUUCCUAAACUUUGGCCCCAUAACCCCUAAAAUGAAUCCAAACCUUCAACUUGUGGUUUUAAACAUUGCGGUAAGAUUUCAG